CGAAAAAUGUUUCUGGGUGGCAGCCUUUUGGGCCAAAACAGUGCUACCACACCAGUGUUGCUCUAGGGAGCAAGAACUAAAUAUAAUUAAAGAAGCAGAUAAAAAUAAUAACACGAAAAGAAACGAAGAAACAGCAGUGCGCAAAUGUAAAAUGCCGCUGUGAUAAUAAAUCUGGACGACGCAGCGGCAGCCGCGACCCAUAAGCUAAAUCCCCACAACAACACAACGUUGGCGGCGGCGUCGAGAACGCGACUCCUAACGCGCGUGUGUGUAUAUUUUUUUGUUGUCAGUUCGCCAAUCUCUGAAUGUGUGCGUGUGUGUGUGUAUAUACAUGUACAUAAUUAAUACAUACAUACGAUACCACACCACCAUACACACAUAUGCAAAUGUUUGCGUGUGUUAUCAAUAGAAAAAAGCGACAGUAGCUAAAACAUUUGGAUGUUGUGGAGCCAGCAGCAAAUCAAGCAUACAUUUUACACGCAGCUCCCUUAGGAUAAUUAAAGUUGCACGUAGCAAAA
Drosophila innubila is the source of this 518-nucleotide long non-coding RNA. RefSeq lists it as uncharacterized. The transcript is spliced from 2 exons. The record is from RefSeq and is a predicted model, not a curated record. Lineage: Eukaryota; Metazoa; Arthropoda; Insecta; Diptera; Drosophilidae.